GGAGACAGUCAUAGAGAAAUGUGUUGUUGGCAUCGAUUUCCUAUGGUUGGGCAAUGGCUUCCGCCAUCUGGACCAGGUGACGUCAGCUAUCUGGAUUUCUGCCAGCAUUCCCCGGCCCAGGAAACAGACUUCCGGCUGUCUGGGCUCUGAGCCAUCUUCGGCCUCCUGGAGUUGGAUGCUGAAACUUGCAGUCACACAAGGAUUUGAACCUAGAGCUUUUCUAAAGCCUGUACUCUUUCCAGUACCCUGAGCCAGGGGAGCCAGCGGGCAGAAAUGACGUGUGAGGUACCCUCUCUCCCUUCACUUCCAUGUGAUCUGUUACUCAUUUUGUCAAGACAUCCUGGGUCCCAGGUGCCAGGUGCUACACAAGAUACUGGCUAUAGCAGUGAACAGAACAGCCUGUCUCAUCCUCAUGGAGGUCACAGGACAAUGAGAAGAAAGACUUUUUUAUUUUUAUUUUUUUGAGACGGAGUUUUGCUCUUGUUGCUGAGGCUGGAGUGCAGUGGUGUGAUCUCGACUCACGCAACCUCCGCCUCCCAAGUUCAAGCAAUUAUCCUGCCUCAGGCCUCUUGAGUAGCUGGGAUUACAGGCACCUGCCACCACUCCUGGCUAAUUUUUUGUAUUUUUAGUAGAGACGGGGGUUUCAUCAUGUUGGCCAGGCUGGUCUCGAAUUCCUGACCUCAGGUGAUCCACUCACCUCAGCCUCCCAAAGUGCAGGGAUUACAGGCAUGAGCCAUCGAACCCGGCCCAAGAAGAAAGACAUUGAACAAGUAAUUACAGGGUAUUGGGUGUUAUGAAAGAAAAGCAUGGUACUGUAUAAUGAGGUCAUCUAAUUUAGUCUGGGGUGACAAGGAAUGCCUACUAAAGAAGGUAUCAUUUAAGACAUAACUGGGGAAUAGCAGUAGUGAAAAUAGAAGCUCCAGAAAGGCAGGGACCAUGGCUGACAUGUUUACCAUGCCAGUGUCUGGCAUGGAAGAGGCACCAAUUCCUUUGGUUGAAAGGAUGAAGUAAUCUAGCUGAAUAAAGGGUGUGUGGGUGCACGCAGGUGUGUUUGUAAUUAACCUUCCUUUAGCUCAGCUUAGGAAACAGCUUUUGUAAAACUGCGUAACUAGUAGUAGGUGAGAGAGGAAUACGAAUGAUAUACACACCAUUAAAGACAAUUUACUAACAGCACGA
RNAcentral lists this long non-coding RNA (1176 nucleotides) under Pan troglodytes (chimpanzee). RNAcentral's name for it is "lincRNA". Lineage: Eukaryota; Metazoa; Chordata; Mammalia; Primates; Hominidae. The record is from RNAcentral.